This 75-nucleotide transfer RNA is filed under the name Candidatus Aenigmatarchaeota archaeon. RNAcentral's name for it is "tRNA-Pro". It matches the Rfam family "tRNA". From Rfam's summary of the family: Transfer RNA (tRNA) molecules are approximately 80 nucleotides in length. Their secondary structure includes four short double-helical elements and three loops (D, anti-codon, and T loops). Lineage: Archaea; Nanobdellati; Candidatus Aenigmatarchaeota. The record is from RNAcentral.
GGGGAAAUGGUCUAGCUUGGUCUAAGAUUCGGGCUUUGGGAGCCUGCGGCCUGGGUUCAAAUCCCAGUUUCCCCA